RNAcentral lists this ribosomal RNA (551 nucleotides) under Funneliformis mosseae. RNAcentral describes it as "SSU rRNA". It matches the Rfam family "Eukaryotic small subunit ribosomal RNA", at positions 548 to 1099 of the family's 1831-position model. The record is from RNAcentral. Lineage: Eukaryota; Fungi; Glomeromycota; Glomeromycetes; Glomerales; Glomeraceae.
UUGGAGGGCAAGUCUGGUGCCAGCAGCCGCGGUAAUUCCAGCUCCAAUAGCGUAUAUUAAAGUUGUUGCAGUUAAAAAGCUCGUAGUUGAAUUUCGGGAUCAAUAUUUCGGUCAUGCCGUUGGUAUGCACUGUUAUCAUUGAUUUCUCACCUUCUAAAGAACCGUAAUGCCAUUAAUUUGGUGUUACGGGGAAUUAGGACUGUUACCUUGAAAAAAUUAGAGUGUUUAAAGCAGGCUCACGCUUGAAUACAUUAGCAUGGAAUAAUGAAAUAGGACAUCCGAUUCUAUUUUGUUGGUUUCUAGGAUCGAUGUAAUGAUUAAUAGGGAUAGUUGGGGGCAUUAGUAUUCAAUUGUCAGAGGUGAAAUUCUUGGAUUUAUUGAAGACUAACUACUGCGAAAGCAUUUGCCAAGGAUGUUUUCAUUAAUCAAGAACGAAAGUUAGGGGAUCGAAGACGAUCAGAUACCGUCGUAGUCUUAACCAUAAACUAUGCCGACUAGGGAUCGGAUGAUGUUAAUUUUUUAAUGACUCAUUCGGCGCCUUACGGGAAACA